GAGUUUGAUCAUGGCUCAGGAUGAACGCUAGCGGCAGGCUUAACACAUGCAAGUCGAGGGGUAACAGGGAUUGCUUGCAAUCCGCUGACGACCGGCGCACGGGUGCGUAACGCGUAUGCAACCUACCUUUUACUGGGGGAUAGUCAAGAGAAAUUUUGAAUAAUACCCCAUACGAUCCAAUUCACUCCUGUGAGAUGGAAGAAAACUUCGGUGGUAAAAGAUGGGCAUGCGUCCUAUUAGUUUGUUGGUGAGGUAACGGCUCACCAAGACUACGAUAGGUAGGGGUCCUGAGAGGGAGAUCCCCCACACUGGUACUGAGACACGGACCAGACUCCUACGGGAGGCAGCAGUGAGGAAUAUUGGACAAUGGAGGCAACUCUGAUCCAGCCAUGCCGCGUGCAGGAAGACGGCCCUAUGGGUUGUAAACUGCUUUUAUACAGGAAGAAACGUUAGUACGUGUACUAGCCUGACGGUACUGUAAGAAUAAGGAUCGGCUAACUCCGUGCCAGCAGCCGCGGUAAUACGGAGGAUCCAAGCGUUAUCCGGAAUCAUUGGGUUUAAAGGGUCCGCAGGCGGUCUAUUAAGUCAGAGGUGAAAUCCUAUCGCUUAACGAUAGAACUGCCUUUGAUACUGGUAGACUUGAGUUAUUGUGAAGUAGUUAGAAUGUGUAGUGUAGCGGUGAAAUGCAUAGAUAUUACACAGAAUACCGAUUGCGAAGGCAGAUUACUAACAAUAUACUGACGCUCAGGGACGAAAGCGUGGGUAGCGAACAGGAUUAGAUACCCUGGUAGUCCACGCCGUAAACGAUGGUCACUAGCUGUUUGACUAACAUUGGUUAGUUGAGUGGCUAAGCGAAAGUGA
RNAcentral lists this ribosomal RNA (861 nucleotides) under uncultured bacterium. Its description in RNAcentral is "bacterial SSU rRNA". It matches the Rfam family "Bacterial small subunit ribosomal RNA", at positions 9 to 860 of the family's 1533-position model. The record is from RNAcentral.